UUUUAUACAAAAAUACACCUCGUGUGAUGAUUGUCGUCGCCGUGAUGAUGUGGUGGAUUUUUUACAUGUAAAAUCAUCAGAAGUAGUGUGUUCCCGCGUUUCUAAUAAAAUGGCGAUCUGCGUGACAUCCCCAAAGUUUACAGCCUUGUUUGAAGUGUCAUAUCAUCUGUGAAUGUGUCAAACAAAUGUUGCUUAUGGAAAUUGACAUUGUCACAAACAUUUUAACCGCGAUUCGUGUUGUAAAUCCAACUGUAUUUUUGAUUAUUUGAUUUGUUAGACUGCUUGUACACACAUGAAAAACUCGGCUUGUAUGUAACAAACGCUUGAUUCCGUUUAAUUCACCCUUUGGAUAGAGAACUUGUUUGAUUGUUUAACUCUAAUAAAGGAAUUGGGAGUCUAAAGGAGGAAUCAUAUUUCGUGCCGAACUAAGUAAGGGUGAUGUCAUGAUGGCCUCCUCGGCGAAGAAAAAACGUUCAAAUAGACCGAAUUUUUCUGAGGCAGCCGUACAAGAAGCUUCAGAUCAGCUAAGCAAAAUACAAUGGAAUGAGUUGAUGAUAGCUUCGAUUCGAAAGCUAAAUGAAGAUGGGACCCGAGUUGUCAAGUAUCGACUUUGCACUACAUUAAACGCAUUGGCAAAAGAGGAAUUUGAGUUGGCACUUCCGAUCACAGAAACCGUUCUCCUGAGGAACUUGGACCGCGCGAUUGAUGAAGGCAUUUUAACAAGUCAGAAGAACGGUUCAAUAAUAAGCUACGGAAUUGUUGGAGAAAAAGCUGGAAAAAUUGAUUUGACAGUGGAGGAUCCUCUGGAGGAUGGAAAAAUACUGGCGGCUAUAGUCAAAAGUCUUCUAAUCAUUAGAAAAAAUGAAGGCCAGGUCAGAGGUUUCAAGCUACCAGAGAUUAUCAACUUGUUCGAAUCGGCCAACAGUCUAAUUUACCCGGAAGGUGAAGAUAAAACAAGUUUUUUGGAAAAUGUAAUCACUGGCGCCCUCAAGAAAGGUUGUAUUUCGGGUCAUAUUCGAAAGUUAGAAAAAGAAUAUUACGUAGCUGGAAAGUCCUGAAGAUGAACAGUUCCUUAAGUAUACAAUUUGCGGUGUAAGUCUAAUUUCAUGUUCAAUAAAGUAUCACAUUUUGUGUGUUCUCC
Bradysia coprophila is the source of this 1141-nucleotide long non-coding RNA. RefSeq lists it as uncharacterized. The record is from RefSeq and is a predicted model, not a curated record. NCBI's taxonomy places the organism in Eukaryota, Metazoa, Arthropoda, Insecta, Diptera, Sciaridae.